GGGUGAGUAGUCUAGAUUGGUAUGAUGCCAGCCUCGGGAGCUGGUGGUCAGGGGUUCAAAUCCCCUCUCACCCACCA
Molecule: transfer RNA, 77 nt
Filed under: Candidatus Wukongarchaeota archaeon
Lineage: Archaea; Promethearchaeati; Candidatus Wukongarchaeota
Also listed under: 1 other name
Description: tRNA-Pro
Rfam family: tRNA
About the family: Transfer RNA (tRNA) molecules are approximately 80 nucleotides in length. Their secondary structure includes four short double-helical elements and three loops (D, anti-codon, and T loops).
Source: RNAcentral